CAGGUCCUCCUACGGGAGGCAGCAGUAGGGAAUCUUGCGCAAUGGGCGAAAGCCUGACGCAGCCAUGCCGCGUGAAUGAUGAAGGUCUUAGGAUUGUAAAAUUCUUUCACCGGGGAAGAUAAUGACGGUACCCGGAGAAGAAGCCCCGGCUAACUUCGUGCCAGCAGCCGCGGUAAUACGAAGGGGGCUAGCGUUGCUCGGAAUUACUGGGCGUAAAGGGCGCGUAGGCGGAUACUUAAGUUGGGGGUGAAAGCCCGGGGCUCAACCUCGGAAUUGCCUUCAAUACUGGGUAUCUUGAGUUCGGGAGAGGUGAGUGGAAUGCCGAGUGUAGAGGUGAAAUUCGUAGAUAUUCGGCGGAACACCAGUGGCGAAGGCGACUCACUGGCCCGAUACUGACGCUGAGGCGCGAAAGCGUGGGGAGCAAACAGGAUUAGAUACCCUGGUAGUCCACGCUGUAAACGAUGAGUGCUAGUUGUCGGCAUGCAUGCAUGUCGGUGACGCAGCUAACGCAUUAAGCACUCCGCCUGGGGAGUACGGUCGCAAGAUUAAAACUUAAAGGAAUUGACG
This 567-nucleotide ribosomal RNA is filed under the name uncultured Phenylobacterium sp. RNAcentral describes it as "bacterial SSU rRNA". It matches the Rfam family "Bacterial small subunit ribosomal RNA", at positions 330 to 915 of the family's 1533-position model. The record is from RNAcentral. Lineage: Bacteria; Pseudomonadati; Pseudomonadota; Alphaproteobacteria; Caulobacterales; Caulobacteraceae.